Non-coding RNA from Procambarus clarkii (red swamp crayfish), 2351 nucleotides. NCBI's taxonomy places the organism in Eukaryota, Metazoa, Arthropoda, Malacostraca, Decapoda, Cambaridae. The record is from RefSeq and is a predicted model, not a curated record.
GUGAAUCCUGUAGGGUUAGAUUUAAUUUUCAAUAGUGGAUCUUGGAAAUAAAAAAAAUUGUCUAAUUAAUUGAAUUAUACAUUACUGGAUUAAUAGAAUUAUAUAUUACAUGUUUUUAUUCAAUUUUAAAUGUAAAAAUUGUACAAAUUAUUUUAUCAAAUUCAAGAAAACUACAGUAAUGUCAUAAUGCAUACAUCUCUGUAUUAGUAUACAGUAUACUGUUUAUAUAUUGUAAUAUUUUAUACUUAUUUCAAAUAAUCGUACUAUGCAUGUACAACCGAGUCUUAUCAGUUUGUGGUAUCACCAUUAACCUUUAAACUGCUCAAUUAAAUGGGAGUGUCUUUUUUUGUUCCCCCGUGAGCUUUCAGAGUUAUUAUAACUGCUGACAUGUUCUUGCUGGUUGCAAGAAUUCAUAAGCAGAAUCUAUAUUUUGCUCAUGGCCAUACUCGCAUUGUAAAUAAAAGUCACUACAAGCACACAUCUGACCAUCAUACAGCACUUAUACAUAUCAUUAGCAGCCACAGGUAUUCCUGUGCUGUAUGAUAAGGCAGAUUUAGGUACACGCCUCUGGAAUUGGUCUGAAAGAUGUUAAGGGGGGGGGGGGUCCUGUGGGUCACAAUCAAAAGAUCCCAGGUUCAAUUCCUGUGCAGGAUAGGGACGUUUGGGUAAGUCUCCUUUAACUUGAUACCUCUGUUCACUUAGCAGUGAAUAGGUACCCUGGAGUUAAGUAACUAUUGUGAACCAACAGCAUUGACCACUGCACCAUCAAAAUUCAUGUAUGGGAAGUUGGGUCAAUGAUUGUAUGAACAGUAGUAAAUAACAUAUGAAGGAAGAGCAGGGGCAAGGAUGACAUGGUCUAGAAGGAGAAAACCAAUAACUGUAGUGGGGAAAACAAUGAUUGUAGGAUUAGAUGGUUAAACAACGAUUUUAUGAUGAGCGGACAAUUACUGUAGAAUGAAUAUGGCAAAUAAUGAUUGUACAUGGAACAAAUAAAAUGACUGCAGAAUGGACAACUAGUGAUUGAAGGAGCAGUUGAAAACAGUACUUUUAGAAGGUGUAAUGAACGAAGACUGUAGGAGCAGCUGGGACAAAUAUGAUGACUGCAGAGAAGAUGAACUGGGAUUGUAGGAGCUGGGGCAAUCAUCAAGAGCAGAGACAAACUGUGAUAAUAGGAGCAGCAUCAGUGAUUGUAGCAGGAGCUGAGGCAAAUAAGGAUUGAGGAGAAAGGAUAAGCAAUGUACAGCAGGGAGGUGCACAAUGAUCAUAUGAGAAGCUGUACAUAUGUAAAACAUAUGUACAGCUAUUUUCUGCUGGGAAAUCAAAGGCAAACAAUGAUUGUAGCAUCACUGACUUUAGGCGUUAGUGGAGCAAUGACUAAGAGAAGCUCAGCUAAAUAAUAAUUAUAUAACCAGCUGGGUAAACAAUAUAAGAGUAUGUUGGGCAAAUGAAUGUAUAAAAAGUAAUGGUAAAUAAUGACUAUAGGGGGCAUGCAAACAAUGUGUGCAACAGGGGAAUGUAAACAAUGACUACGUGAAGUACGGUCAUUCAAACAAUUGCUGAAGAAGCAGGAGAUAUGAUUGAUGGAAGGCUGAUGCAGUUAUAAUAUAAUAAUUUUUUUAGGUAUACACGUAAUACAUAUAUAAAAUACAAGCAGAUUGUAGGAUUCAAAGGUAAGGCAAGUAUGAUGCCUAAAGCCACUAAUGCACCGAGUGUUUCAGGCAUAAUGUAGGUAUGGCAGGGGAAUCAGAGGAGAACAAAGGGUUGAGGAGAUGGGCAAACAUUGUAGGAGGAGCAGCAGCAGUAUUGUCUUCAGAAGCAGGGGCAAAUUGUAAUCAUGAGGGAAGGAUAAAAUAUGAUUGUAAGAAGUCUAAACAAUGAUUGUUAGAGAAAUGGGUCUAAACAAUGAUUGUUGGAGGAACAGGUGUAAACAAUAAUUGCUCAAAUAUGUUCUGGGAUACUGUAAUUCUGAACCUUUCUUGAAUUCAUGAGUUUUGGUAGCAAAGAGGCCAAGCACGUCCACAGGAAUAAUUGGGGACAUAUGUUAGGCUUCUGGCUUCCUGUCCCCAUCAAGGCCACUGGAGAUGGUGGCCUCAAGGCAAAUUCAGGUAAAUUAAUUAUAUAAUUCUCUGUAUAAAAUCCUGUGCUCACCUCAAGAACUAGUGCUAAUGGCCAUUAUUCCUGUAUUUUAUUAUCCUAAUUUAUCAUCCCAAAGAUUUCAUUACCAUUACAUAAAUGUCAAUAAAAUAUUCCUCAUUUAAUUUACCUUUUCAUUAAAAUUAAUAAUUAGCUUUUUGCUCUAUUCUGUCAGUAUAUGACAUACUGUAUAUCUACAUAAUAAACUUAUAAAUAUU